Molecule: long non-coding RNA, 655 nt
Organism: Manis pentadactyla (Chinese pangolin)
Lineage: Eukaryota; Metazoa; Chordata; Mammalia; Pholidota; Manidae
Exons: 3
Source: RefSeq, a predicted model, not a curated record
GCCUGCUGGGGGGAGGGGGGCGGGCGGCGCGCCGGUCCGCCCCCACAUUUCCCUGCCGCUGCGCCCGCGACAUGCCGCGCCGCACGUUGCUGCCUCCGGCCCCGCCACGACCUGGCCCGUCACCAACAGCCACUCGGGGUGCCUGCUCUAUGCCAGGCUCCUGAGAACUGGCCAGCUGUGCAGGUAUCAUCUAGACUGGCUCCCAGUGGAUGAGAAGAAGCUGGUUCUGGGAAGAGGGUUCCAGGCAGAGGGAGCUGCACCUGCAACGCCAGAAGCCCAAGAGAGAUCGGAGAGCAGCCCUGGGCGGAGGUAGGCAGGAGGCUGCGCAGGUUCACUUCCUGGCUGCGACUCACCUCCUCUGGGAAGCUUAUGAUUGACCCCUCUGCAUCUCCGAUAGCUCAUUCCUGCUGGCCUUGCAAGAUUCUGGACCCACAGUGGACACACUACGUGGUCGAUAUCCAAGUUUCCUGGCUGAGCACCGUGUCAGGGAACAGCCUGCAGGAAAACAAAGGCAUGGGCACUGACCACCACCCAUCUUCGGUCAGGCACUUCCCAUGCAUUAUCCACUUCAUUCGCAAAGCAGCCCUUUCAGAAUAAAUGGGUUUAUUAUUCCCAUUUGACAGAUGAGAAAACUGAAGCUCUGAGAAAUUAACCA